CUUCCGUUCACUGACUGUAUUUCAGAAACGUUUAAGGAUUUACUUCACCACUCUUUGUUUAUGAAUUGUGACUGCUAAAUAGCAGAAGGUUGGUGUGGAGUUUUGUAACUAAAGGAUUUCUGCGUGCACUGGAAUACAUCAGCCAAAAAUGAGGAACUGUUGAGAACCUUCAGGUAACUUUGGAGCCGUACCACGUGUGGAUGCCUCCACUCCCUUGCUGGAUGAUUCCAUCUCUGUGAUGAAAGGGUUAUCCGGCAGCCGCAGCCACCACCACGUGGUGACGUGUGACCCCUCUUUUGAGUCCAUGGGUCACCACUUGGACCA
Danio aesculapii is the source of this 324-nucleotide long non-coding RNA. RefSeq lists it as uncharacterized. The transcript is spliced from 3 exons. NCBI's taxonomy places the organism in Eukaryota, Metazoa, Chordata, Actinopteri, Cypriniformes, Danionidae. The record is from RefSeq and is a predicted model, not a curated record.